UUUGACACCAAAGCAACAUGCUCUUUUUAUAGAAAUGGCCAAUUCCGAAGGAAAAAACACCCCAUUCUCUGCCUCUGCAAACCGAAUGAUUCAGAUUCAGACGCUCCUCCACCUCCGCCUCAAGGAGACAGCCGUCAGCAGGAACUACUUGCGAGGAUUGCCCAGCUUCAAACUCAGAAAGUUCGGCUUACCAACUACUUAGACGAAAGAUCUGCUUACCUGUCCCAGUUUGCUGAAGAUGCCAAUGCCGAGAUUGACCAGAUAGGGGAAAAUGCCCUCAAAGAGCUUGAUGAAGCUGGUGCAAGGGUCUGCACUCAACUGCAUAACCAAAUCAUACAGAAAGUGGAGUUCAGUUUUCAUCUCUCAAUUACACAGUUCUUGAUUUGUUCUUUUUUUCUUUCUUUGUGGAACAGAUAAUGGAAAAUAUAGAGAGCCGGAUGCAAGCUUUUGAAGAAUCAAUAGAGUUAAACAAACAGGAGAUAGAGGAGAACGAGAAGAAGUUGGCGGACUUUGAGGGCCAAAUGGAGGAAGAGAGAAAUGAAGGGCUUCUCUUCAAGAACUUAGGGCAAAAACAAUAAGUGGAUAAAGCAAAAGCUAAGGAGGAAACUGACAAGAUUAAGCAAACUCAGUAAAGAAACUGCUGAGUCAAAGACUAGAAGGAAUAUCUACCUUGCACUUAUCGGUGUUGUAGUAGUUGGAAUUACGAGUGCCUUAAUCUCUUCACCUUCUGACAGGACAAAGAGUGCAGUUCUUGGAGCGAUCUUGGUG
This 768-nucleotide long non-coding RNA is filed under the name Nicotiana benthamiana. RNAcentral describes it as "long non-coding RNA (NBEN_LNC035097)". Lineage: Eukaryota; Viridiplantae; Streptophyta; Magnoliopsida; Solanales; Solanaceae. The record is from RNAcentral.